AUCUGAACAGGAUCUGCAAAAUGGGAGCUGCUGAAAAAUGAUUUGCAAAGAGUUGCAAAAUACCUCAAGGUCCCUUCCUGCUGUCCUAGUGAGCAUAAUCUGCUCUGAAGUAGUUACACCUGUGGUCACUUAAUCAACGAGAUGAAGGGUAAACUUUUAAAAGAUUUUCAAGAGCUCAGUUUCUUUUGCUAGUUUCCUGGUUUGGUAGCAGCUGAUAGCAGUAGCUGCUGGGUUUGUGGGUUCUUGCUGCUGAAGCCAUGAGGUUUUUAUUAAGAUGGCUGUUGUUGUUACUACUAACUGUUGGAAGUCAUCAAGCAAACGAUUCAAGUAGUCGUUACCUCAGGGGGAAUGCUUCAUGGCGCAGUGAAUCACUUGCUACUCAUACUUUAACCUUGAAUGCAAAGGUAGCAAAGUCCGGUUUGCAGUCACGGGUCCCCCGGCAGCAGCAUCAACCUCAGGCACCCAUUCAGCGUAUAUGCCGGCUCAGCUCAAAGACUUUAUGCCUUCCUAAGAAGCCCCAGCAGUUCACCAGUCCACUCCAGCUGCCCAGACAGCAGGUUGACUCCCUAUCUUGGGGAACCCAGCCAAAGUGGAAGCCUUCCUGCCUGCCCAAGCACUUCUGCCAAUCCAAGGAGCCUCGGGUGUCCCAUCAGCCUGGUUCUCCACUCAGGCUGCCUGGUUUCCUGUCCCAGUGGCCCCAGUGGCCUGACCGUCCACUUUACCAGCUCCAGAGACCCCACUAUCCGGCCAAGUGGCCACUAUACUCACUCCAGAUGCCUCAGUACCAUGCAAAAUGGCCACACUUCCUGCCUUACUACCAGUCCAAGAGUCCACACUACAUGACUGUGUUGCCUAUCUACAGGGGGAAAGUUAUUGGUCUACCCAGCAAAGCAACUUCAGUAUCCCCAGCAGGCACAGAAGGUGGUGCUAAUGUAAUAGCCACACAAAGGGACCAAUGGGCAUGGUAUGUAGGAAAACGAUUAAUGAGAUAACUGGUUUUCAAUGGCCUUUAUUCAUGAAUGCUUUCUGUUAGGCACAGCAAUGUUGAGCCUUCUGAAUCAUUGUACUGACCUUUCCAAUUAAAAUAACUUUCAUCUUGACUCUGUAAGCAUUAAUUGAAUGAUUUGGUAAUAAAGUUUGAUAAGGUGUGUGUAUGAUGCCAACACAUAAUGCUUUCCUUCUGUUAAGAGUUAAAAUUUGUAGAAACUUGUAUACAAAGCAGAUUGAAAUUUUACACUGCAGAUAAAAGAGAUGCUGUGGAAUAGCUCUCCCAGAGAUUAAU
Molecule: long non-coding RNA, 1282 nt
Organism: Oreochromis aureus
Lineage: Eukaryota; Metazoa; Chordata; Actinopteri; Cichliformes; Cichlidae
Source: Ensembl